Molecule: ribosomal RNA, 253 nt
Filed under: uncultured bacterium
Lineage: Bacteria
Description: partial 16S ribosomal RNA
Rfam family: Bacterial small subunit ribosomal RNA
Source: RNAcentral
UACGGGGGGGGCAAGCGUUGUUCGGAAUUACUGGGCGUAAAGGGCUCGUAGGUGGCCAACUAAGUCAGACGUGAAAUCCCUCGGCUUAACCGGGGAACUGCGUCUGAUACUGGAUGGCUUGAGUUUGGGAGAGGGACGCGGAAUUCCAGGUGUAGCGGUGAAAUGCGCAGAUAUCAGGAGGAACACCGAUGGCGAAGGCAGCUCGCUGGGACGGUACUGACGCUGAGGCGCGAAAGCGUGGGGAGCAAACAGG